Molecule: long non-coding RNA, 1610 nt
Organism: Bos taurus (domestic cattle)
Lineage: Eukaryota; Metazoa; Chordata; Mammalia; Artiodactyla; Bovidae
Source: Ensembl
GCCCAGAAGUGCCAUGAAAGCCGCUGGCCCCCUUUGUUGAAGUCUCCUCACCUUUCCAGGAACAGCCCAGCAGUGAAACUUCUCUGCACGUUAUCCAGUCAUUGAAGGCUCCCUCUAGACAUCAGGUGUCUCACCCGCAAGCCAGUUCCAGCCCCACAUUCAACCUUGUGUCUCCAGACAAGGCAGCUCUCUGUCCAGGGUGGCAUUUACACUUCCACUGUACUCGGCUUUGCUCCUGCUGUUGCUUGGGCACUGCUUGCGGGAUCUUAGUGCCCUGACCAGGGAUUGAACCCACGCCCCCUGCAGUGGAAGCCUGGAGUCCCUACCACUGGACCACCAGCACUUCCUCAACAGGGCGGAGCAUCUAAUUAAAUACUUUGGUAUAAAGGGAUUUUUCUUCAGGCUGUUGCCGAUGAAAAGGGAAGUCGUCUUAUUGCUAAGACAAAGAAAGACUUUGAAGUUUUCAAACUGUGCUUCCUGAAGUGUGGACAGCUAGCCACCUGACUCGGAAUUACCUGAGAGAGCUGUUUAAAAUGUCACUUCGGCCCACUGUUCCAUGGUCUUUGGAGGUGGAGCCCGGGAACUGCCUUUUAGCAAGGUGAUUCUUAAGCCUCUGAUAAUUGAGACAAGUCUUCAAAGGGCAGUUACCAUAGAGAGGCUGCUGAGUGAGUGACCUUGAGGCAAACAGGUGCAGAGACAAAGGAAGAAACAUUGAUUGAUUAUCUCCUUUCAAGUAUUUUGUAUAGAAAUUAUGCCAUUUAAAGUUAUCAAUGGAAGAUUGCAAACAAGGGUCCGUCUAGUCAAAGCUGCGGUUUUUCCAGUGGUCAUGUACGGAUGUGAGAGUUGGACUAUAAAGAAAUCCAAGCACCAAAGAAUUGAUACUUUUGAACUGUGGUGUUAGAGAAGACUCUUGAGAGUCCCUUGGACUGCAAGGAGAUCCAACCAGUCCAUCCUAAAGGAAAUCAGUCCUGAAUAUUCAUUGGAAGGACUGAUGCUGAAGCUGAAACUCCAAUACUUUGGCCACCUGAUAUGAAGAACUGACUCAUUGGAAAAGACCCUGAUGCUGGAAAAGAUUGAAGGCAGGAGAAGGGGACGACAGAGGAUGAGAUAGUUGGAUGGCAUCACUGACUCGAUGGACAUGAGUUUGAGUGAACUCCGGGAGUUGGUGAUGGACAGGGAGGCCUGGUGUGCUGCGGUCCAUGGGUUGCAAAGAAUCAGACACAACUGAGUGACUGAACUGAACUGAACUGAAGUGACUUGCCUAAAAGCUGAGAAAACCAGAACUGAAUCUAGUUUGUUGUUUGUUUGUUUUAGACUGAAACACAUGACUUAGCAGGAUCUGAGUUCCCAACCAGGGACUGAGCCUGGGCCCCCGGCAGUGAAAGCACAGAGCCCUAACCCCCGGACCAGGGAAUUCCUUGAAUCCGUUCUAACGGAAAGCCCGUGGCUCUGCCAGCUCCCAGAAUCUGUCCACUUUUGCAUUUGUCAGGAAAGCCUAGAGAGUGAUGAACUGAGUGGCUGUGUCCUAUUUACCUUCAGACCCUGUAUUCAUUUACGCCUAUUGUACCCAGAGACCAUUAUAUCUGUAACGCAAGCCCUGCACCCAAUAG